This 279-nucleotide ribosomal RNA is filed under the name uncultured bacterium. RNAcentral describes it as "partial 16S ribosomal RNA". It matches the Rfam family "Bacterial small subunit ribosomal RNA", at positions 506 to 784 of the family's 1533-position model. The record is from RNAcentral.
UGCCAGCCGCCGCGGUAAUACGGAGGGUGCAAGCGUUGUUCGGAAUUAUUGGGCGUAAAGCGCGUGUAGGCGGUCUGUUAAGUCUGAUGUGAAAGCCCGGGGCUCAACCCCGGAAGUGCAUUGGAUACUGCUUGGCUCGAAGAUAGGAGAGGGAAGUGGAAUUUCAGGUGUAGUGGUGAAAUGCGUAGAUAUCUGAAGGAACACCAGUGGCGAAGGCGACUUUCUGGCCUAUUCUUGACGCUGAGGCACGAAAGCUAGGGGAGCAAAACGGAUUAGAUA